RNAcentral lists this ribosomal RNA (442 nucleotides) under uncultured Fusibacter sp. RNAcentral describes it as "bacterial SSU rRNA". It matches the Rfam family "Bacterial small subunit ribosomal RNA", at positions 338 to 795 of the family's 1533-position model. Lineage: Bacteria; Bacillati; Bacillota; Clostridia; Eubacteriales; Fusibacteraceae. The record is from RNAcentral.
CCUACGGGGGGCUGCAGUGGGGAAUAUUGCACAAUGGGCGCAAGCCUGAUGCAGCAACGCCGCGUGAGUGAUGAAGGCCUUCGAGUUGUAAAACUCUGUCCUAUGGGAAGAAACAAAUGACGGUACCAUAGGAGGAAGCCCCGGCUAACUACGUGCCAGCAGCCGCGGUAAUACGUAGGGGGCAAGCGUUAUCCGGAAUCACUGGGCGUAAAGGGUGCGUAGGCGGCUUAUCAAGCCAGGGGUGAAAGGCAGUGGCUCAACCAAUGUAAGCCUUUGGAACUGAUAGGCUUGAGUGCAGGAGAGGUAAGUGGAAUUCCUAGUGUAGAGGUGAAAUUCGUAGAUAUUAGGAGGAACACCAGUGGCGAAGGCGACUUACUGGACUGUAACUGACGCUGAGGCACGAAAGCGUGGGUAGCGAACAGGAUUAGAUACCCCAGUAGUC